This 429-nucleotide ribosomal RNA is filed under the name Acidobacteriota bacterium. RNAcentral's name for it is "Acidobacteria bacterium partial 16S ribosomal RNA". It matches the Rfam family "Bacterial small subunit ribosomal RNA", at positions 355 to 776 of the family's 1533-position model. Lineage: Bacteria; Pseudomonadati; Acidobacteriota. The record is from RNAcentral.
UGGGGAAUUUUGGACAAUGGUGGAAACCCUGAUCCAGCCAUCCCGCGUGUGCGAUGAAGGCCUUCGGGUUGUAAAGCACUUUUGGCAGGAAAGAAACGUCAUGGGUUAAUACCCCGUGAAACUGACGGUACCUGCAGAAUAAGCACCGGCUAACUACGUGCCAGCAGCCGCGGUAAUACGUAGGGUGCAAGCGUUAAUCGGAAUUACUGGGCGUAAAGCGUGCGCAGGCGGUUCGGAAAGAAAGAUGUGAAAUCCCAGAGCUCAACUUUGGAACUGCAUUUUUAACUACCGGGCUAGAGUGUGUCAGAGGGAGGUGGAAUUCCGCGUGUAGCAGUGAAAUGCGUAGAUAUGCGGAGGAACACCGAUGGCGAAGGCAGCCUCCUGGGAUAACACUGACGCUCAUGCACGAAAGCGUGGGGAGCAAACAGG